AACGAACGCUGGCGGCAGGCUUAACACAUGCAAGUCGAACGCAUCCUUCGGGGUGAGUGGCAGACGGGUGAGUAACGCGUGGGAACGUGCCCUUCAGUUCGGGAUAACCCAGGGAAACUUGGGCUAAUACCGGAUACGUGCGAGAGCAGAAAGAUUGAUCGCUGAAGGAUCGGCCCGCGUCUGAUUAGCUAGUUGGUGAGGUAAUGGCUCACCAAGGCGACGAUCAGUAGCUGGUCUGAGAGGAUGAUCAGCCACACUGGGACUGGGACACGGCCCAGACUCCUACGGGAGGCAGCAGUGGGGAAUAUUGGACAAUGGGCGCAAGCCUGAUCCAGCCAUGCCGCGUGAGUGAUGAAGGCCUUAGGGUUGUAAAGCUCUUUCGGCGGGGACGAUAAUGACGGUACCCGCAGAAGAAGCCCCGGCUAACUUCGUGCCAGCCGCCGCAGUAA
This 449-nucleotide ribosomal RNA is filed under the name uncultured bacterium. RNAcentral's name for it is "partial 16S ribosomal RNA". It matches the Rfam family "Bacterial small subunit ribosomal RNA", at positions 29 to 523 of the family's 1533-position model. The record is from RNAcentral.